UCCAGUCUUCUCUCUGUCGUUCUCAGUAGCGGCAUCAUGAGCUACCAUUCCCCCAAUUUCUUCUUGGUGAAACAAGGCUUGAAGCUCCCCCUCCAUCUGGGGUGCUGACCCUAAGGCCCUUCUAAGUGGAGGUUCUAGAGCUGCCUCGCCUUCCACUCUGCCCUUUCCUGCAUCCUGCCCGCAUCGCUCCAAGAAUGCGCCCCACUUUCCCAUGCCUGGCCUGGCGCUCGCCUCCUUUAUCUCCACAGGGAAUACCUGUCUCCCUGCUCCCCACGGCCCCCUCCCACUUCUUGCCCAUCCAGCUCAAACCUCCAGCACGGAGUCUACACUGAUCACUCACUCCUCAAGUCACUCAGCCAUGUCUCUCCCAGACACUGCUCCCCAGAGGAGAGGCUUACCAGCCCUAUGUGACCUUAAGACCCUGCAGACCAAGGAACUCCUGCAAUUAUUUGUCUCUGUCCCUCACCCUUGCCCCCCAGCACCGUGAGAACACAGUAGGUGCCUGCUAAAACAACGAUAAUAACCAUUACCUGAAAAAUAAUGAAUUAUAAUUGCUUAUUGACCAUUCAUUCUUUACAAUGCUCAGAUCUCAGCAUUUUACAUGUAUCAUUUCAGUUCAUCCUCCCAAGCCCCCCAUAGACUUGUCAUUCCUACCCCUUUGUCUUCAACUGAGGAAAUUGAGGCUCAGAGAGGUGAAAUGAUUUGCCCAAGGUCACAUAGCCAGGAGAUGGCAGACCUAAGCCUGGAAUUUAAGUUCUUAUCCACCGCCCUACUUGGCCUCCCUCCAAUCCACACAUAAAGGAGGGGAUAUGUGAGAAGCUGUGACCUGCCAGUGAUGGGGCUAUGGGGGUCCCAUAGAAACCAGCCCAGCCCAGGGCCAGAGGCAGAUUCCAUAAAUAAAACUUCACAACCUUCUAUUGCGUACCUACUCUGUGCAAAGCCCUAUGCUAGGUGCUGGGAGCACAGAAUAUUACAUGAGACAUCUGGAACUCACAAUCUAGCAAGAGAGACAAGCCACGUCCCAGGAUAAAGUCAAGAGCAAGCAGAACUUGUCCCCAGAGGAGACCCGAUAAGGUGCUAAGGGAAUGCAGAGGACAGAAAGACAAAUCUCCCUGUGGGGUUGGGGACGGGAGGGCUCACAAGGCUUUGGGGGACAGAGGUUGGCAUCUGAGCUGAGCCUUGACAAGGCAGGCAGGAUUUCAACAGUGACUGGGGAAGGACGGGGUGUGGCAUUCCUGGCAGAGAUGAACCCAGGAAGUUGGGGCAAAGACACAGGUAAGCACUGGGCGUGUCCCAGGAGCCACAGCAAAUGCAUUCUCCAAGCCCCUCCCCUUGGCACUGGUCCCAGGUGUCUGGCCCUGAAGAGAGGCCACCAUGAGCGUCCCCAGACUCCCAGGCAGCUGAUUCAUUCUGGUAAGCGGGCGUGGAAAGGGAGAGAGUGCUGAGUGCCUGGGCGCAUGGUCUGCCAGAAGGGGCUCAAGGGGCUAGAAUCCAGGCUCUGUACAGACUCUCUCAAGAUGGGAGAUGCUGAAGGGAGGAAGUGGCCCCACCAGAAGUGGGUGAUGCUGGGGAGGAAACAAGGAAAGGGGCAAAGACUGUGAAUUGGGCAGCAGGAGACCUGGCUUCCAGAACUACAGAUCAAAGCUGCGUGGGACCUUGGGCUUAUCCUGUCCAACCCUCAUUUUUACAGCUGGGAAAACUGAGGCCCAGAUAGGGGAAGAGACCGGUUCGCAGUCCCUUCGCAGCAGAACCAGCCAUGUGCUGAGAGACUCUCACUCCAGCCCUCAGCCAGGUCCGGCUCCCUUCCUUUUCCUUUCUACACAACUCUGCUCCUGAAUCUCCGUUUCCUGGCUGCAGCCUCUGCCUCCCUCCCCUCCAUCACCGAGCCUGACAGAGGACCUCCAAGCCCCCAAGCACCCUUCUGAGGAGAUAAAACUAUCAUGCUUUGCAGAUGAUAAGCUCAUUUAAUUGGGAGACUCAAGAUAAUCAAUGAAGAACUGAGGUGGCCAGUGACAAAACAACAUCUAAAGAAAAAGCCAAGCGCCUGCAGUCCUGCCCUGUUACCUGCUCUUGACGCAGCAUCUCUCCAACAGGUGGGCAGCUGCCUAGAACCAGAGGGGCUCAGAGCCUUGUCCUUCCUGGUAGGAAGGCCAGUCCCUGAUGGGGUGACAGCAUAGGUUUAGGAAGCAGGAGACCCCACUCUCUGAGCCAAGAAUCUGUUCUCCAAAUUUGAGCAAGUGUGCAUCCCUCUGUGGACCCCUAAACGUUCUCACAGCCUCCAUCCGGGGCAGUAUAGGAAAGACUCCAGACCACCUGUGGGCUUUGGCUAGAUCUGGCUUUAAAUCCAACUGUGCCACUUGCUGGCUGAGGACUGGGUAGGCCUUGGGCAAGUUAUUUAGCCUCCUUUAAUAAAGUGGGGACCGUAAUCUCUGCCUCACUGGGUAGUUGCAAGGAUUAAAAGACGUAAGGCGCAUAAACCACUGAGCACGGGGCCUGGCACAUGGUGAGCCAAUAAAUGUAAGCACUUGUUUAUCAGUCACCAGAGCGAGCCUCUGACGAGGAAGACUCUAGGCUUUCUAAUUCUUAGGUGGCCUCAAGCAACCCCCAAACCACCCACCGGAACUGGGUCUGGAGGCUUUAUCUUUAGAGCUUUAACCCAGAGAGAUGAUGGGGAGAGAGAGGAGGGGGAGGUAGGGGAAGGGAGAGAAAGAAGACUGAGAAGAGGAGGGAGGAAGGGAAAGGAAAAUCAAGGGUGGGGGCGGCCUGGCUUCCCCAGCUUGGGGGAAAGGAAGAUGACUUCAGGGAAGCUGCCAACACAGGAUAAGCCUUCUCUCCUUCCCGGAGCCUCCCCAGGCCCGCCAAGGCAAGGCUUAAAGGGACACAGUCUGCUGAGAAGCACCGCCCUGGCUGUCAGCAGGGACACUGAAGCCUUGGGUUACCUCCAGGCUCUGGCUCCCCACGCGGCUGCUGCCUGCCCGUGACGGCCUCCUCCCCUGGAGCAGGCAGAGACGGCCAGAGCCGGGCUGAGAACAAAACCACUUGCCCAUUCAGCCUGCAGAGGCACUAGUCGCUCACUUAGGACUCAGGGACCCCCUUGUGGAUUCUGAUCCUGACUCAGCAGGACUCCCCCCACUGGGUCCCCACCUCAGGGUCCCAUGCGGAGCCCUCUCCAGGCCUCUACCUGCCCCAAGGUCCUGCUUCGGAGGCUGAAGUUGCGACUAGGGAAAAAGCACCAUUCAGACUCUAAACAGGAACCACAAACGAGGUGUUCCGAUUGCCACUGACCAGCUGUGUGACCUGAGGGGUGUCACUUCCCUCAGAGCAUGUUUCCUUCCUCUGGCUAAUGAGGGCAACGGAGGACGAGGAGUUUCUCUAAGGUUCUCCCAACUCCGACAGCAGCUAUCCUGCUGGUAGGAUACCUUGGAGCACAAAGGGGCAAAGAGGACUUGCCUCAGAAGAGGAGUGUGCCGAGCUGGGCUCUGCUGAGAGUGCCGUGGAUGUGGCAAUGGCCAAGGGUUAUUAUGAAGAUGACGAUUAUAAUUUAAAAACACAGCCACAAACUCUAAAGCAGUUUACAAAGAGCUUUCUCAUUAUCCCCUGGGAUUCACAAUCUGGUGACUUAAGUAGAGCUGGACGAUGAUUAUUCAUAUUUGGCAGAUAAGGAAAGUGAAGCAAGAUUUAAGUGGCUUGUGACUUCCCUGGUGGCGCAGUGGUUAAGAAUCUGCCUGCCAAUGCAGGGGACACAGGUUCGAGCCCUGGUCCAGGAAGAUCCCACAUGCCGCGGAGCAACUAAGCCCAGGCACCACAACUACUGAGCCUGCGCUCUAGAGCCCGUGAGCCACAACUACUGAGCCCAUGUGCUGCAACUACUGAAGCCCGCACACCUAGAGCCCAUGCUCUGCAACAAGAGAAGCCACCACAAUGAGAAGCCUGUGCACCGCAACGAAGAGUAGCCCCCACUCACCACAACUAGAGAAAGCCCGCACAUAGCAACGAAGACCCAACACAGCCAAAAAUAAAUAAACUAAUUUAAAAAAAAAAAGAUUUAAGUGGCUUGUCCAGGCUACUAAGUGUAGAGAAGGGGGAGUCAAAGCAGAAGCAGUAAUUACGGGGUGCCUGCUGUGCGUCACCUCACUAGGCUCACUCAUUUCUGUUAUCUUGACCAAGUGUCACCACCACAACCCGGCACUGCAGGUGCUACUGUCCCCGUUUCAGAGAAGAGGACACUGAGGCUGAGAAAAAGCCUCAUGGCUGCUCCAUUGCAAAGCCUGGAUUGGGACCUGGGCUUGUGGGACUCCAAGACCUGCAGUCUUUUCCAUCUUCCUGUAUGUACUGAGUUGAAUAGUGUCCCCCCAAAUUCAUGUCUACACAGACGCUCAGAAUGUGACCUUAUUUGGAAAUAGAGUCUUUGCGGAAGCAAUAAGUUAAAAUAAAAUGAGGUCAUGCUGGAUACGGGUGGGUCCUAAACCCAAGAUGACUGGUGUCCUUAGAAGAAGAGAUGACACAGAGACACACCAGAGAAAGGGAAGAAAGCCAUGUGACAACAGAGGCAGAUGCAGCUGCAAGCUAAGGAGCUCCAAGGAUUACUGGCCGCCACCAGAAGCUAGGAGAGGGGCACAGAACAGAUGCCCCUGCCACCCACCUCAGAGCUUUCAGAGGGAACCAACAUUGCCAACACUCUGCUUUCUGACUUCUAGCUCCACACUGCGAGAGAAUAAAUUUCUGCUUUUUAAGGACA
Long non-coding RNA from Orcinus orca (killer whale), 4738 nucleotides. RefSeq lists it as uncharacterized. The record is from RefSeq and is a predicted model, not a curated record. The transcript is spliced from 2 exons. Lineage: Eukaryota; Metazoa; Chordata; Mammalia; Artiodactyla; Delphinidae.